AUUGAACGCUGGCGGAAUGCUUUACACAUGCAAGUCGAGCGGCAGCGCGGGGCAACCUGGCGGCGAGCGGCGAACGGGUGAGUAAUACAUCGGAACGUACCCUGUCGUGGGGGAUAACGAGUCGAAAGAUUCGCUAAUACCGCAUACGACCUGAGGGUGAAAGCGGGGGAUCGCAAGACCUCGCGCGAUAGGAGCGGCCGAUGGCGGAUUAGCUAGUUGGUGAGGUAAAGGCCCACCAAGGCGACGAUCCGUACCGGGUCUGAGAGGACGACCCGCAACGCUGGACCUGAGACACGGUCCAGACUCCUACGGGAGGCAGCAGUGGGGAAUUUUGGACAAUGGGGGCAACCCUGAUCCAGCCAUUCCGCGUGAGUGAAGAAGGCAUUCGGGUUGUAAAGCUCUUUCGGCAGGAACGAAACGGUCCUUUCUAAUACAAGGGGCUAAUGACGGUACCUGAAGAAGAAGCACCGGCUAACUACGUGCCAGCCGCCGCCGUAA
RNAcentral lists this ribosomal RNA (498 nucleotides) under uncultured bacterium. RNAcentral's name for it is "partial 16S ribosomal RNA". It matches the Rfam family "Bacterial small subunit ribosomal RNA", at positions 29 to 523 of the family's 1533-position model. The record is from RNAcentral.